AGCCUACGGAUUCUGAUAUAGUAAUAUCAAUUAUUCUGUUAUUUCUAAUUGUUAUUGGUUAUUUACGUCAGUACUUGGUUAAUUAUCUGAAUAAAUGUUAAACUCAAUUAUUACCUCCAUACGUAAAAAACCUAAAACCCAAUGAAAAUCCUAAGCAUUAGAUCCAAAGGGUAAAUUCUUAUCCCAAAUAAUAUACCCACAAGUCUAAACCCAAAAAAUAAACAUGAAACACUGAACCCAGAAUAAAUCGUGAACCCAAACUCAUAAGAUAAACUCUAACCCUUAAAUCCUAAACCCUAAGGAAAAACACUAAA
RNAcentral lists this long non-coding RNA (314 nucleotides) under Brassica napus (rape). RNAcentral's name for it is "long non-coding RNA (BNAP_LNC011300)". The record is from RNAcentral. Lineage: Eukaryota; Viridiplantae; Streptophyta; Magnoliopsida; Brassicales; Brassicaceae.